AGGGGCGUCGCCAAGUUGGUAAGGCAUCAGGUUUUGAUCCUGACAUUCGUUGGUUCGAGUCCAGCCGCCUCUGCCA
RNAcentral lists this transfer RNA (76 nucleotides) under Moraxella sp. RNAcentral describes it as "tRNA-Gln". It matches the Rfam family "tRNA". Rfam says of the family: Transfer RNA (tRNA) molecules are approximately 80 nucleotides in length. Their secondary structure includes four short double-helical elements and three loops (D, anti-codon, and T loops). Lineage: Bacteria; Pseudomonadati; Pseudomonadota; Gammaproteobacteria; Moraxellales; Moraxellaceae. RNAcentral also lists the same sequence under 10 other names. The record is from RNAcentral.